This 425-nucleotide ribosomal RNA is filed under the name uncultured bacterium. RNAcentral describes it as "partial 16S ribosomal RNA". It matches the Rfam family "Bacterial small subunit ribosomal RNA", at positions 354 to 796 of the family's 1533-position model. The record is from RNAcentral.
GUGGGGAAUAUUGGACAAUGGGCGCAAGCCUGAUCCAGCCAUGCCGCGUGAGUGAUGAAGGCCUUAGGGUUGUAAAGCUCUUUCAGUGGGGACGAUAAUGACGGUACCCACAGAAGAAGCCCCGGCUAACUUCGUGCCAGCAGCCGCGGUAAUACGAAGGGGGCUAGCGUUGUUCGGAUUUACUGGGCGUAAAGCGCACGUAGGCGGAUCGUUAAGUCGAGGGUGAAAUCCUGGAGCUCAACUCCAGAACUGCCUUCGAUACUGGCGAUCUUGAGUCCGGAAGAGGUGAGUGGAACUCCUAGUGUAGAGGUGGAAUUCGUAGAUAUUAGGAAGAACACCAGUGGCGAAGGCGGCUCACUGGUCCGGUACUGACGCUGAGGUGCGAAAGCGUGGGGAGCAAACAGGAUUAGAAACCCUAGUAGUCC